GUUCAGGCCAAGACUCUUUUCGAACAUGUGAAGUUUGGGGAAGAUCGGACAUCUUAUGCCUGAGUUACAACAACUUCUAUUCCGAUGGCGAGAUAUCGACAUUUGUCACGGCACCAUGGACACACCGUUUAAUGAAAACUCAACAUGUUCACAAUUUAACAUCAUAAAGGCCUUUAGAUUAGACUGACCAAAAAAAAUUAUAAAGUGUCAUAAAAUUUCUAGGAGUAGUUCGUUACAGCGUAAAACAUGUCACUUCCUGUUGCCAGCAGGUGGUGCUAUGGCUAUAACUGAAUUUGGGCAUGUAGAUAUGUUCAGGUCAGGAGUCUUCUCAAACAUGUGAAGUUUGAGGCAGAUUGGACAUUGUAUGUCUGAGUUAUAACAACUUCCUUUCUCAUGGCGAAACAUCGAUAUUUAUAAGGCCGCCAGAGACACGCCCUUCAACUAAACCUCAAGAUCUUCGCAAUUUAACAUCGCAAAGGCCUUUAGAUUACACUGACAAAGUUUGGUGUUGAUCUGAAUAAAUCUCUAGGAGGAGUUCGUUAAAGUACAACCCCUGAAAAUGUCAAAAACGACACAAAUUUUGCAGAGAAAAUUCAAAAUAACUGACUUCCUGUUGGGAUUCGAAUUUCGUACCAAGAGACUUUUUUGUAGGUAUUGGUGUGUUACAUGUGUGUACCGAUUUUUGUACAUGUACGUGAAACGUAGCUCGAGGCGCACUCCGUUGAAAAUGUAUAGGUGGCGCUAUCGAGACAUUUUUCCACACCCAAUGGAAUAUUGGCCUUCAGAUGUGUUCAGGCCAGGACUCUUAUCGAACAUGUGAAGUUUGGGCAAGAUCGGACAUUUUAUGCCUGAGUUACAAUAACUUUUAUUCCCAUGGCGAGACAUCAAACUUUGUGACGGCGCCAUGGACACGCCCUUUAACGAAAACUCAAGAUCUUCACAAUUUAACAUCGCACAGGCCUUUAGAAUAGAGUGACUGAAAAAAAAAAAUUAUGUCAUAAAAUUUCUCGGGGUAGUUUGUUACAGUGUAAAAUAUGUCACUUCCUGUUGCCAGUAGGUGGCGCUAUGACUAUAACUGAAUAUGGGCAUAUCAAUCUGUUCAGGUCAGGAGUCUUAUCAAACAUGUGAAGUUUGUGGCAGAUUGGACAUUGUAUGUCUGAGUUAUAGCAACUUCAUUUUUCAUGGCGAAUCAUCGAAAUUCGUCAGGCCGCCACGGACACGCCCUUCAACGAAAACUCAAGAUCUUCGCAAUUUAACAUCGCAAAGGCCUUUAGAUUAGGCAUACCAAAUUUGGUGUUGAUCUAAAAAAAUCUCUAGGAGGAGUUCGUUAAAAUACAAGGCAUGCAAAUGACAAAAAUGAUGCAAAAUUUGCUCAUAAAAUUAAAAAUAACCGACUUCCUGUUGGGUUUCGG
Long non-coding RNA from Cyprinus carpio carpio, 1412 nucleotides. The record is from Ensembl. NCBI's taxonomy places the organism in Eukaryota, Metazoa, Chordata, Actinopteri, Cypriniformes, Cyprinidae.